CCCUAUGGGGUGCAGCAGGCAAAAGAUUUUUACACUCUAUUGUUGCCUUCACAAUUCCGGAAAGAGGAUCAAUGAUAACAAUGGUAUCCGUCAUAUAUACAUUGGCCCAUACCUCUCCAUUUAUAUAUUCCAGUUCGUUAAGCUGGUUUACAGGCCUUCCGUUAAGGGUAACCGUAACCGACGAACGAACCAUGAAGUUGGACGGGUCAAGCGUGUAAAGUUUAUCGGAGCCAUCGCUCAUUAUAAGAUCCUUGCCAUUGUUGGUGAGACCCCACCCUUCUCUGGGAUUAUUGAGCGUUCCAAGAAAUUUAAAGGUUUUGACAUCGUGAACCAGGACAACUUUUUCGAGCCAGGUUAAGAUAAACAGCGUCCCGGUAAGUACUGUGGCUCCUUCUCCAAAAUAGUGGCGGGAGAGC
This 416-nucleotide ribosomal RNA is filed under the name uncultured prokaryote. RNAcentral describes it as "partial 16S ribosomal RNA". The record is from RNAcentral.